Molecule: transfer RNA, 66 nt
Filed under: Romualdius bifoveolatus
Lineage: Eukaryota; Metazoa; Arthropoda; Insecta; Coleoptera; Curculionidae
Description: tRNA-Pro
Source: RNAcentral
CAGGAAAUAGUUUAAAGUAAAAAUUUUAAUUUUGGAGAUUAAAGAUGGGAGAGAUCUUUUUCCUGA